UACGGGGGGGGCAAGCGUUGUUCGGAAUUACUGGGCGUAAAGGGCUCGUAGGCGGCCAACUAAGUCAGACGUGAAAUCCCUCGGCUUAACCGGGGAACUGCGUCUGAUACUGGAUGGCUUGAGUUUGGGAGAGGGAUGCGGAAUUCCAGGUGUAGCGGUGAAAUGCGCAGAUAUCAGGAAGAACACCCGUGGCGAAGGCGGCUCUCUGGGACGGUACUGACGGCUGAG
Molecule: ribosomal RNA, 228 nt
Filed under: uncultured bacterium
Lineage: Bacteria
Description: partial 16S ribosomal RNA
Rfam family: Bacterial small subunit ribosomal RNA
Source: RNAcentral